RNAcentral lists this unclassified non-coding RNA (371 nucleotides) under Hevea brasiliensis (rubber tree). Lineage: Eukaryota; Viridiplantae; Streptophyta; Magnoliopsida; Malpighiales; Euphorbiaceae. The record is from RNAcentral.
GAGUACAUUCUAUCUCCAGACCCCACUUGUGGGGUUACACUGGUGUUUGCUGCUCUUCAAGGUUGUGUCUAAGAAACAGUUGCUUUGGAACUCAAGCUUAGUAUACUUUUACUACUCAAGCGGGCUCGAUUUAGACUUGAACUUGAAAAGUCACAAUUUUAUUGGUCGUGACAGACGAAGCUUGAAAUUAUCCCUGCAGUGCAGAUAUCUGGUUUGCGAUCAUCACAUUGAAAGAUAAUCUGGAUCUGGAGCACGAUACAUGUAUACAGAUUUAAUGAAGAAUUGUACGUACCAAAUGUAAUAUUAGCUAGAAUGUAAAGAAAUGCUAAGAUAAUGACUGUAACAUCAUUUAACUGUUGAGAUGAUUAAAU